Molecule: ribosomal RNA, 1255 nt
Filed under: Homalometron synagris
Lineage: Eukaryota; Metazoa; Platyhelminthes; Trematoda; Plagiorchiida; Apocreadiidae
Description: eukaryotic LSU rRNA
Rfam family: Eukaryotic large subunit ribosomal RNA
Source: RNAcentral
CGAGUGAACAGGGAAAAGCCCAGCACCGAAGCCUGUGUCCAUUUGGGCAUAAGGCAAUGUGGUGUUCAGGUCGUUCCGCAGAGGCACUACUCCACUCCAAGUCCAGCAUUGAGUACGGUAUGGACAUGGCCCAUAGAGGGUGAAAGGCCCGUGGGGGUGGAGUUCAGGCUGGUUAGUGUCUCUCUGGGUAGACCUUGGAGUCGGGUUGUUUGUGAAUGCAGCCCAAAGUGGGUGGUAAACUCCAUCCAAGGCUAAAUACUUACACGAGUCCGAUAGCGAACAAGUACCGUGAGGGAAAGUUGAAAAGUACUUUGAAGAGAGAGUAAACAGUGCGUGAAACCGCUCAGAGGUAAACGGGUGGAGUUGAACUGCAAUCUUCGAGGAUUCAGCCGGUGAGCAUGGUUUUGGGCUUGGUCAGAUUGGUUGAGUACCGGAGUCUGUGUAGCAACAGGUCCAUGCCUUCGGGUACGGAUGUGCGAUACACUUAUCAAGUGUUGCGCGCUCUGGUGGUAUCGAACCAGCUCGCCGGUGCACUUCUUCGGAGUGUUCACCACGACCGGCACUGCUGCUUGGGUGUCGCGGUUAAACCGUUCUUGUAUUGCUUCCGGGCUUUGCAUGAUCGGGAUGGCAGGUAGCUCGUUAGUGUCCACGUACUCCGUGGUCGCUUUUGGGUGUAACCGCUUUCCGCGAUGGUACUAUGCGGUGUGUCGGAGACGGCGGCUUAUGGUGUGUGCAUGCGUGCCUGAUCGGUCGGCAGUUUCGGGUUUGGUUGCUAUGUUGCUUGUUAAAGCAGGCCUAGUGAUAUCCCGGUUCUGUUGGGUCGGCGGUUGCGUGUGUGGCACUUCCCAGGGCCAAUAGUCUGUGGUGUAGUGGUAGACUAUCCACCUGACCCGUCUUGAAACACGGACCAAGGAGAGUAACAUGUGCGCGAGUCAUUGGGCGUAACGAAACCCAAAGGCGCAGUGAAAGUGAAUGUCUGGCUUGUCUGGACUGAGGUGAGAUCCUGUCGUUUCCCACGCGUGGUACCACCAAGCAUCGAGCGGCAGGCGCAUCACCGGCCCGUCUCAUGGCGUAGUCACAUAGUCUUCGGACCAGUGCAACACCGGGGCGGAGCAUGAGCGCACAUGUUGAGACCCGAAAGAUGGUGAACUAUGCUUGCGCAGGUUGAAGCCAGAGGAAACUCUGGUGGAGGACCGCAGCGAUUCUGACGUGCAAAUCGAUCGUCAAACGUGAGUAUAGGGGCGAAAGACUAAUC